AUGGCAAAGUUAAUAAGGGCGCACGGUGGAUGCCUUGGCACUAAGAGCCGAUGAAGGACGUGACUAACGACGAUAUUCUAGGGGGAGCAGUAAGUACGCAUUGAUCCCUAGGUCUCCGAAUGGGGAAACCCAGCUGCUACUAGCAGUUAUUCAUGAGUGAAUACAUAGCUCAUGUAAAGGUAACGCAGAGAACUGAAACAUCUAAGUACCUGCAGGAAGAGAAAGUAAAAACGAUUUCGUAAGUAGCGGCGAGCGAACGCGAAGAAGGGCAAACCAAGAAGCUUGCUUCUUGGGGUUGUAGGACUGCAACGUGGACUUAAGCAUUAUAGUCGAAUAACCUGGGAAGGUUAAUCAAAGAGGGUAAUAAUCCCGUAGACGAAAUAGCGCUUAUACCUAGCAGUAUCCUGAGUAGGGCUGGACACGCGAAAUCCAGUUUGAAUCCGGGAGGACCAUCUCCCAACCCUAAAUACUCCUUAGUGACCGAUAGUGAACCAGUACCGUGAGGGAAAGGUGAAAAGAACCCCGAGAGGGGAGUGAAAUAGCACCUGAAACCGUGUGCCUACAAGAAGUUCGAGCCCGUUAAUGGGUGAGAGCGUGCCUUUUGUAGAAUGAACCGGCGAGUUACG
Molecule: ribosomal RNA, 626 nt
Filed under: Lactococcus lactis
Lineage: Bacteria; Bacillati; Bacillota; Bacilli; Lactobacillales; Streptococcaceae
Description: partial 23S ribosomal RNA
Rfam family: Bacterial large subunit ribosomal RNA
Source: RNAcentral